GUGUUUGCUUUGGCAGUGCAUAUACUAAAAUCGAAACGAUACAGAGAUUAGCAUGGGCCCUGUGCAAGGAUGAAAUGUGAAUUCAUGAACCAGUCCAUAUUAGA
This is a small nuclear RNA of Molossus molossus (Pallas's mastiff bat), 104 nucleotides long. Lineage: Eukaryota; Metazoa; Chordata; Mammalia; Chiroptera; Molossidae. The record is from RefSeq and is a predicted model, not a curated record.